This 505-nucleotide ribosomal RNA is filed under the name uncultured bacterium. RNAcentral's name for it is "partial 16S ribosomal RNA". It matches the Rfam family "Bacterial small subunit ribosomal RNA", at positions 28 to 507 of the family's 1533-position model. The record is from RNAcentral.
GACGAACGCUGGCGGCGUGCCUAAUACAUGCAAGUAGAACGCACAGUUUAUACCGUAGCUUGCUACACCAUAGACUGUGAGUUGCGAACGGGUGAGUAACGCGUAGGUAACCUGCCUGGUAGCGGGGGAUAACUAUUGGAAACGAUAGCUAAUACCGCAUAAUAUUGAUUAUUGCAUGAUAAUUAAUUGAAAGGUGCAAUUGCACCACUACCAGAUGGACCUGCGUUGUAUUAGCUAGUAGGGGAGGUAACGGCUCACCUAGGCCACGAUACAUAGCCGACCUGGGAGGGUGGUCGGCCACACUGGGACUGGGACAAGGGCCAGGCUCCUACGGGAGGCAGCAGUAGGGAAUCUUCGGCAAUGGACGAAAGUCUGACCGAGCAACGCCGGGUGAGUGAAGAAGGUUUUCGGAUCGUAAAGCUCUGUUGUAAGGGAAGAACGGGUGUGAGAGUGGAAAGUUCACACUGUGACGGUAUCUUACCAGAAAGGGACGGCUAACUACGUG